UGCCAGGGGAGAGCGCUGGGCCGGGCAGGGCAGGGGGGCCGGGCGGUGACCCCAGCCUCUCUCCUCAGAUGAGCCUUCCCUGCAGUUCCGAAGGAACGUGUUUUUCCCCAAGCGGCGGGAGCUCCAGAUCCACGACGAGGAGGUCCUGCGGCUGCUCUAUGAGGAGGCCAAAGGCAACGUGCUGGCCGCACGGUACCCGUGCGACGUGGAGGACUGUGAGGCCCUGGGCGCCCUGGUGUGCCGUGUGCAGCUCGGGCCCUACCAGGCAGGCCAGCCCACUGCCUGCGCCCUGAGGGAGAAGCUGGACUCCUUCCUCCCCGCCCACCUCUGCAAGCGGG
Molecule: long non-coding RNA, 338 nt
Filed under: Ursus maritimus (polar bear)
Lineage: Eukaryota; Metazoa; Chordata; Mammalia; Carnivora; Ursidae
Description: lncRNA (ENSUMAG00000009706.1)
Source: RNAcentral